GGUCGAUGAUGAACAGUAAAAGGUCUGAGGGCACAAGGGAAUCACACUCCAUUACCCUCCUGGCUCCCAGCAGUCCGUGUUCUAUCAUGCUGUAGUAGAGCUAUGAUUGAGAAAGAGAUUGCUGACACUUUAGGAUUAAUUCAGUUCCAGUUCUCCACAGUGAAGGGAGUUGUGGCACUGAAUGUCAUCCAACAGAGGGUGGUUAAGAGGGUGGUGAAGAGGAGCUCAUGGUAGUGGGGUGUCUUCAUUUGUUGUGUGUGAUCUAAAGUUUUCAAGCUGAGACC
This is a non-coding RNA of Chaetura pelagica (chimney swift), 284 nucleotides long. NCBI's taxonomy places the organism in Eukaryota, Metazoa, Chordata, Aves, Apodiformes, Apodidae. The record is from Rfam.